Molecule: non-coding RNA, 175 nt
Filed under: Clostridium cylindrosporum
Lineage: Bacteria; Bacillati; Bacillota; Clostridia; Eubacteriales; Clostridiaceae
Also listed under: 1 other name
Description: Lysine sequence
Rfam family: Lysine riboswitch aptamer
About the family: Riboswitches are metabolite binding domains within certain messenger RNAs that serve as precision sensors for their corresponding targets. Allosteric rearrangement of mRNA structure is mediated by ligand binding, and this results in modulation of gene expression.
Source: RNAcentral
UAUUUUGGUAGAGGAGCGGUCCUUAAGAGUAGCAAUGUGGAGCUAAGCACUAUGAAGCAUUGAGAAAGGAAGUACCGCCGAAGUAUAUAGCUGAUGCUUUAAGGCUAUGUAACUGGUUUUAUGCAUAAUAUGUAUAAAAUUGUCACAAAGAAAUUUGUGGAGGGCUAUCUUUUUA